RNA transcript from Musa acuminata AAA Group (dessert banana), 953 nucleotides. RefSeq lists it as uncharacterized. The transcript has 6 exons. NCBI's taxonomy places the organism in Eukaryota, Viridiplantae, Streptophyta, Magnoliopsida, Zingiberales, Musaceae. The record is from RefSeq and is a predicted model, not a curated record.
UUGACCUUUUCCCAGUCGCUUCAAGCCGAAGGCGAAACCAAAGUCCCGCUACCGCCGGCCAGUUCCAGAAAGCUGGUCAUCGCCUGCCGCCUUUCGGGUCUCUCAAGCCAGCCUUCGACGAUGAGCCACCCUCCUCCGGUUCUCAAGCCUUAGCUGUCGUUGCCAUUGCGAUCCUGCUGCAGCAGCACAGCCGCCUCCCUCUGUUGUUGCAUAUGCAGCAGUAGCAAAUAAUCAUCGACACAUGGAUGCUUGAAUCUUGAUGAUAUUGAUAUGGACCUCACUCCUUUCAAGUUGGAUGCUGAUGAACUUCUAGAUGAGUUCACCGAGGGUAACUAUACCACACUGGCAGAUAUGAAGAGGGUGUGGAUGGCCAAGAAGUUCUCUUAUAUUUAUGAGGCUAAACCUACUUCUAAUGAAGCCUUCUUUAUGCAGUCACUUUACUCCUAUUCUAUUCGUGCAUUGUUAAGGAGAUUGGGUGGUCUCUAUUGCCUUUACUGCCUCUAUGAGACUCAACCAUAUAAACCUGCCUUCAAAAUUUAUUAUCUCUUUAAGCUACUGAUACGAUGGAUAUCGAGGAUGCAAAACACAUUAUAGAAGACAAUAAGUUGGUGGGAGACAUGGUAGAUGAUAUCGUGAAAGACUGGGAUGCUCAAAAGGAGACAUUUUAUAAGCAGACUAGCAUUAUUAUCCACAACGAAUUAGGUGGCGAUCGAUGAUUUUGAUGAGUUGGAACACCUCUUAAACGAGUGACAUACAUCUCAAUAUUGACAACCUUUGAACAUGCUUUUGCUGCCAAAAUAUUGGAGUUUCCAUUCUCCUCAGUUGACUUCUGACCUCCAGUAGAUCAAUGCUUCACAAAGAGAGACUACAUACAGUGCAGGAUUCGUCCUCAUCGACAAACAAUUGGUUCUGUCCACGAGCUGAUGCUCAUGAACUCGGUUUAAGUGAUGAGC